Molecule: ribosomal RNA, 321 nt
Filed under: uncultured Chloroflexota bacterium
Lineage: Bacteria; Bacillati; Chloroflexota
Description: bacterial SSU rRNA
Rfam family: Bacterial small subunit ribosomal RNA
Source: RNAcentral
GAUGAACGCUAGCGGCGUGCCUAACACAUGCAAGUCGAACGUGAAGGCGACUACGGUUGCCUGAAAGUGGCGGACGGGUGAGUAAGACGUAGGUGACCUGCCUUCGAGUGGGGGAUAACCAUUAGAAAUGAUGGCUAAUACCGCAUGGUUUUGUGGAGUAGGGAUAUUUCGCAAAUAAAGCUUUGGUGCUCGGAGAGGGGCCUACGACCGAUUAGGUAGUUGGUGGGUAAAGGCCUACCAAGCCGAUGAUCGGUAGCUGGUCUGAGAGGACGAUCAGCCACACGGGAACUGAGACACGGUCCCGACUCCUACGGGUGGCAG